This 22-nucleotide microRNA is filed under the name Strongyloides ratti. Its description in RNAcentral is "str-miR-1175-5p". Lineage: Eukaryota; Metazoa; Nematoda; Chromadorea; Rhabditida; Strongyloididae. The record is from miRBase by way of RNAcentral.
CGGUGAAGAAGAGAAUCUGACU